RNAcentral lists this long non-coding RNA (1185 nucleotides) under Lathyrus oleraceus (garden pea). RNAcentral's name for it is "Pisum sativum (pea) long non-coding RNA (PSAT_LNC041439)". The record is from RNAcentral. Lineage: Eukaryota; Viridiplantae; Streptophyta; Magnoliopsida; Fabales; Fabaceae.
UUGAUCAAGCAGUAUUGUCCCCAGUGGGUCUCUCCUUCCUUUAGGAUAUUUGCUCCGAGUUAGCAACUUUAUCCUCUUUUGAUCAGUCACCUUUGCAUACCUAGUCUGGUACCCCGAUGCCUUUCUUUUCGGUCGUUUAUCCAUCUAACAACCAAUCCGGUUAUGGAUAAUCUUCCAUGCGAGUAUGUUAUCUACGUUUUGACGGCUAUAGAUAAUAUAUCUCAUGCACUCUCUGGUCAGUCUUUUGAUUGUUUUCUCCAGCAGAGUAAGAUUCGUAUUCCUUUGUUCGGAAUCGAAUAUCCGUCCUUUAACAAGUUUGCCUUUGCUCUCUUCAGGAUGAUGUCGGUCGAUCUAUCCAUUUAACAACCAACCCGGUUAUGGAUAAUCUUCCAUGCGAGUGUAUUGUCUACGUUUUGACGGCUAUAGGUGAUAUGUCUCAUGCGCUCUUGGGUCGAAGUCGUCCUCCCCAGUCGAGUAAGAUUCGUAUUCCUUGUGGAAUUGAAUGUCCAUCCUCUAACAAGACUGCUUUUCUAGCCCUCUUCAGGAUGUUGAGUGUUUUGGAAUACAUACCAAUUCACGCUUUGGUCGGUCACCCGUUUCGUACCUACAACCCGGUAUCCUUGGUGUUCCUUCCUGUUUGCUCGCUGUAGUGACCUUGUUCCCCAGUGAGAUCCCCUGCAAGUGUGUAGCCUUGCCUAGACAUGCAAAUGGCAGUCUCCCGUCAGCACCCGCGUGUGUUCUUCUUUGGUGUCGGUAAACAUCAUCUUUCGAUGUUCGUAACGUCGUCCCUUCCCUAGUGAAGUUUCCUCCUCUCCGUUGGUGUCGAUAAACGUCGAGUUUUUCCUGUGCGUCCUAUGAUGUAUAGUUGAUUGUCCCCCGCAGAUCAUUUGGUAAUACCAGAUGAUUCCCCUCAGAAUAUUACUCCUCUCCGUUGGUGUCGAUAAACGUCGAGUUUUUCCCAAUUAUCCGUUGAUGAUUUGGUUGUGUUCACUCUCCCCUAGUGAAGGUUCCUCCUCUCCGUUGGUGUCGAUAAACGUCGAGUUUUUCCCAAUUAUCCGUUGAUGAUUUGGUUGUGUUCACUCUCCCCAGAAGAGUUCCUCCUCUCCGUUGGUGUCGAUAAACGUCGAGUUUUUCCUAUGCGUCCGUUGGCGUAUAGUUGAUAUCUUUCCCCACAGGGUCGUCCCC